Physeter macrocephalus (sperm whale) is the source of this 380-nucleotide long non-coding RNA. RefSeq lists it as uncharacterized. Lineage: Eukaryota; Metazoa; Chordata; Mammalia; Artiodactyla; Physeteridae. The record is from RefSeq and is a predicted model, not a curated record. The transcript has 3 exons.
UUCCCUCUAAGGAAAGUGACCUCAGACAGUCCUUUAAGUGCGAUCACUGUAAUUUAGGGAAAGUGACCUCAGACAGUCCUUUCAGUGCAAUCACUGUAAUUGAGGUGAUGAGACACCACAACUGUGGUCCCAAAUGACUAUGACCAGGGAUCAGCUUCUGACCCAAAGGCCAUCUAAGGGGCCUUAGAGGAAUCCAUUAUUAAAUCUUGGACUUAGAAGGAAUCUAAGACAUGUGUAGUUGUCUGUUUCUAUUCAAAUCCUCCGAAAGAAAUGUAAGACUGUCCUCUGGAGGCAGGUGUGCCAAGCAGCGCUCCGCACCCGGGAUGCACCACACUGUGUUUAACCACUCACCCACGGAAAGGCGUCUGGGUUGUUUCCAG